Small nucleolar RNA from Telopea speciosissima, 149 nucleotides. RefSeq annotates it as small nucleolar RNA SNORA17. The record is from RefSeq and is a predicted model, not a curated record. Lineage: Eukaryota; Viridiplantae; Streptophyta; Magnoliopsida; Proteales; Proteaceae. The transcript has a single exon.
UCUCUCUCUUAACAAUAUGAAUCGCUACAUUGUUUACAUUCCAAUGUAAACAAUGUAGCGAUUCAUAUUGUUAAGAGAGAGAGAGAGAGAGACUGAAGUUUUACGUGGUUCAGUUCGGUUAACCUAUGUACACUUAGGGGUCUUAUAUU